Small nucleolar RNA from Peromyscus maniculatus bairdii (prairie deer mouse), 123 nucleotides. NCBI's taxonomy places the organism in Eukaryota, Metazoa, Chordata, Mammalia, Rodentia, Cricetidae. The record is from Ensembl.
UGGCUUGUUUGAGCUUUUGUUUAACUUGUAACCAAAGACUUAAAGCUGGGUACAAAAAUAAAUCCUCUGCAAUACAGAACUCAUUGUUCAGCCUGAAUUUUGAUAUGCAUGAUAAAGAAUGUA